AUUGAACGCUGGCGGCAGGCCUAACACAUGCAAGUCGAACGGUAACAGGAAGAAGCUUGCUUCUUUGCUGACGAGUGGCGGACGGGUGAGUAAUGUCUGGGAAACUGCCUGAUGGAGGGGGAUAACUACUGGAAACGGUAGCUAAUACCGCAUAACGUCGCAAGACCAAAGAGGGGGACCUUCGGGCCUCUUGCCAUCGGAUGUGCCCAGAUGGGAUUAGCUAGUAGGUGGGGUAACGGCUGACCUAGGCGACGCUCCCUAGCUGGUCUGAGAGGAUGACCAUCCACACUGGAACUGAGACACGGUCCAGACUCCUACGGGAGGCAGCAGUGGGGAAUAUUGCACAAUGGGCGCAAGCCUGAUGCAGCCAUGCCGCGUGUAUGAAGAAGGCCUUCGGGUUGUAAAGUACUUUCAGCGGGGAGGAAGGGAGUAAAGUUAAUACCUUUGCUCAUUGACGUUACCCGCAGAAGAAGCACCGGCUAACUCCGUG
RNAcentral lists this ribosomal RNA (490 nucleotides) under uncultured bacterium. RNAcentral's name for it is "partial 16S ribosomal RNA". It matches the Rfam family "Bacterial small subunit ribosomal RNA", at positions 30 to 507 of the family's 1533-position model. The record is from RNAcentral.